AUGUCGCUCAGCUUGCACGUGGGAUUACAAAUGGCCAUAGGUUGCCCACUGCAACAGCCUUGUUGUUUUCUUGUAGCAAGGGACUACCAAAGAAGAAGAGAUGAUGCGGGUUCAGAAUCUGACAAUAUCUGUGUUAGUGCUGGCAGAUCCAAAGACAGAAAGAAACAGACAGUUUCACACACUAGCAACCGUAGGAUCAUUUUCAAAAAGCCUACCGUGAUGGAAAAAAUCAGAAUCCCAACAAAAGUGCUUUUCGAUGCUAUGAUGCAGCAGCUAGGUCUCCCAAAUGCAGUGUACUCAAUACAGAAGGCAAGAGCAAUUGGUCUUCAUACAACUAUUCACUUCUAUCCCUCCAAGUAUCAACUGGAUAACAAAUCUUCCAGGAUAGUCAAUAUCAAUCCAUGUAGCCAACAAACUAUAAGAUGUUGA
RNAcentral lists this ribosomal RNA (429 nucleotides) under Triticum aestivum (bread wheat). Its description in RNAcentral is "partial small subunit ribosomal RNA". Lineage: Eukaryota; Viridiplantae; Streptophyta; Magnoliopsida; Poales; Poaceae. The record is from RNAcentral.